This 30-nucleotide non-coding RNA is filed under the name Rattus norvegicus (Norway rat). The record is from RNAcentral. Lineage: Eukaryota; Metazoa; Chordata; Mammalia; Rodentia; Muridae.
UGCUGGAGCACACUCAGUAUUUACAUGGAC